Molecule: small RNA, 476 nt
Filed under: Pan troglodytes (chimpanzee)
Lineage: Eukaryota; Metazoa; Chordata; Mammalia; Primates; Hominidae
Description: processed transcript
Source: RNAcentral
AUGUUGUCCAGAGGCUGGUUGCUUUUAGUCCAAGUAAUGCCUCCCACACCUCGGAUUUCAGCCAGGCUGUGCCAGGGAGGGCAGAGGGCACCCCGGACAAAAGGACCCUGCCUUGGUGUGAGAGUGAGGGCAGAGGGAGCUGGAGCAAGUAGAAUUUCUCUAAAUACCAGCUGGCUGGGGCCCAGGAGAUAAAAAACACCGGGCUAGGUUGGUCUUGGCAUUUGCUGACACGCAAAGGGAUUGCAGAGAUCCAGCCCCUCCAACCUCCCUCUGUCCACAGGUGGCUCCCAUUCAGUCCCACAAUUUGCUUUCUCCUCCUCAAGGGUUAAGAAAAAAAACAAACCCUUCCAGUCUGAUCAGUGACUGGAGAGCUCCAAGGAAAGUCUCUCAGUGACCUGGCUGCUGGCACCAUGGACUCAGAAAAGAAACGCUUUACUGAAGAGGCCACCAAAUACUUCCGGGACAGAGUCAGCCCA